GAUUUUCAGUAUAUAUCUUAUGCUUAUGGUGAUGGUUGGUGAAGGGGAUUUUGAGUGUACCCUUAGUGAAGAUGUUCGGAAAGUUUGGGAAAGAGCAACUCGGGAUGAUCGUAAUAGGAAAAAGGUGACGAGAACACAUUUACUUGUAGCUUGCUGGUGGGUAUUAUGGAUUGAAAGGAACAAUUAUAUUUUUAGAGGGAUCAAUAUUGAACCAUUAGCGGCAGUAAAUAGGAUCAAAUCGCUAGUAAAGCAAUGGAAGGAUUUCUAGUGGACUGUCAUAAUUUACAUUAGCUAGUAAUUGCUUUUUUUUUUGUUUUUUUUUUAAUCGGACCUUGUAUGGGACGUUUAUGAUUCUCGGGGCUAGUUGCCCCACUUCUGUAGCUUAGUUCAUAUUCGCUAUGAAUGAAGCAGGCAGCAAGUCUACCUUGCUCUCUAAAAAAAAAAAAACAUUUUUCCCCCUAGGGGAAGCUCGUACGCAAUACAUUUGGCGAAGAUCCUAUAUUUUCGUGAAACAAUUUAAGAGAAAUGGAGGAACACGAAAAUGAACUAAGAUCCUAUAAUUUUAUCAAACAAAAAAAAGAACAGAAAGGUAUAAGAAAUUGAAUAUCGAAAUAAGAUUAUCCAAUAUAUAAAGAUUUUAUUAUGAAAUUUAAAAUUAGGAUUUUAUUUUUUCUCGAAAGAUUUUUUUUUUUUGAGAGAUAGAUAGCACGCUAUCCGCUUCGUUUAUUUUAUUUAGAAAUAAAUAAACUUAGCUAGAAAUGUGAACCUACUAGGAUUCGAACUUGAGACCUCAGGUACCAACCACCAAGCCCUUUGUCACUUGCUUUAGGGACGGUCCGUUCCUCAAAAGAUCUUAACAUCUAUAAUUUAGUAGAAUAGUAUGGUCACCUACAAAAUAAUUUAUCUUAUUGGAGAGCAAUUAUUUGAAGACCAAAUACAAUAUCCAAUCUAAAUAUUUGAUCAUGCAUCAACUUUCAAAUACAGUACACAUUUUAAAGAAAUUAAAAAAUAUGCCGAAUAAAAUGUUCAUGCAUCUCAAAAGCCCAAAGAAAAUAAAGGAGUAAGAUAUUUAAAUUUAGAGUAAUACUUCAAUACAUUAUGUAAAUUUUGACCAUUUAUUUUUUUAAAUAGAUGGUUGAGCUGUAAUAUGAUUUUGGCAUAGGUACCAUUCACGAGGUACCUAUUUAAAGGGCAUUUUGGUCUUAGAAAAAUAUUUUGGCCUACAAAAUCAGUUUUAUCUAACUAAGAAUACUAUAACUUUCUCAAAUACCUAUAACAAUAGUUGGAAUUCAAAUUACAACUAAACUGUAAAUUUAAAUACAAAGCAAUAUAAAAAACUUAAUUAUAAAUCAAAUUUAACUUUUAAAUAUAAAACACAAAUUUAAAAUUAAACUUUCAGUUCAAAUUCAAAAUUUUAAUUUAAAUCAAAAAUUAAAAUUUGGCUUACAGAUUAAAAGUGCAAUGUAGAUCAAAAUUUAAAAGUUUAAUAUAAAUUUUGAAAUUAAAAUUUUACAUUACAAUACCAACUUCAAAACUUAAAUUUAAAUUCAAUAUUUUUUUGAUUGGAUAACAAAUUGGGUAUUAUCUAAUUUGGUAAGUAACAAAACUAAAUAAGAUAUUUAAUAUGUACUACUAAUUUUUUUUCUAAUAUUAUCAUAUUAACUAAUUCAAAUCGGUAACCUGUUCAAUAGGUUACUUCAUAAAAAAUCCAACUAUACCCUUUACUAAUUAAGAAUUUGAUUUUAAUACUUAUAGUAUAUUGAAGUAUUGCUCUUAAAUUUAAAGCUCAUUAAAUAGAACCUUA
This 1804-nucleotide long non-coding RNA is filed under the name Ananas comosus (pineapple). RNAcentral describes it as "long non-coding RNA (ACOM_LNC006308)". The record is from RNAcentral. Lineage: Eukaryota; Viridiplantae; Streptophyta; Magnoliopsida; Poales; Bromeliaceae.